Long non-coding RNA from Alosa sapidissima (American shad), 676 nucleotides. RefSeq lists it as uncharacterized. The transcript has 4 exons. The record is from RefSeq and is a predicted model, not a curated record. NCBI's taxonomy places the organism in Eukaryota, Metazoa, Chordata, Actinopteri, Clupeiformes, Clupeidae.
UUAACUUGGAGCAACAGGACAGAGGCCCUAAACAGUAUGCUGAUGUUUUAAAUUACAGGACACUACAGUAUUUUUUGGAAACUGAGUGGUGUUGCUGGGGAAUCUGGAAUAGGCCUACGGUCAGAAGUUUGAUACAUUAGUCUUUUACUGCUUGGUCAAUUUUCUUUAAAAAAAUAAAAUACAGAAAUUAUUUGCCAUCAACUCCUGGAGGGACUUCAUGAACCAUAAUUUGGAUAGGAGAUUUUCCAGAAGAGGAGUCACAAUUUGGAUGACAUGUGCUACACAUCAUCGAAUGUUCUUCAUCUACAUACAUCGGGUCUGACAUCUACAAAUUAACUGAGGAUACAAAGUAACUAUAGGAUUAUUGGAACAUCGGCUAACCGAGAUGGUUUUUAUGUCUGCCACUGCAGCUGACGUUGAGACAACUCUCCUGCAAGUCCUCGCCUGAUACUGCCUGUUUCAGGUGCAACAGGGCAAGUCACAAUUAGAGGUUGGAUGAUCACCUUUGAGGGCCGUGUAAUCUCUGAGGGCAUCCCACCAACAUUUGCAUCGGGACUUACUGCUGUGUUUGCAAUCUACUACAUAUUCAACCUUCAGUAUCAAGAUGAGGCAGUCUGCACUCUGGAAUUCAUUUAGAGGCGCUUCAUUGGUAUAAAUCCAGAGAGCGGGACAAAGG